ACUUAUCUAAACAAAGUAGUUAUUUACUGUGGUAAGAAAACAGCUAUAAGAAAGAGGGAAAAAAUAGAAAAGAAGGAAAUCUGGCAAGCAGUCGGGAUAGAGUUGCAGCAAGAGAUAGUCACCACCAUGGAUCCAGCAGCAUCCCGCUGGUCUGGAGUCUCCGUGUACUUUGGUGGGGGGGUUCCACUCGCCGUUGGAUCACACAGUCUUUUAUAGGGUCUUAGUGCAUUCCUGCGCAUGCUCUCAGUCCUGGCACGCUGCAUCAUCUAUACAAUCUUUACAACUGAGGUGUUAGGUUUAGGCCUGUUCUGCUAACAGGCAGGGUACACCACAAAAUGGCCACAAGCUACAGUUUAUUAAACAAGCACACUAAAGCACAUAAGCACACUAAUGCAAAUCAGGUAUAUUUCUCUCUAUAUAUAGUAAAUAAGUAGAAUAAAGCAAAUCAGAUAUAUACAUAUAAGCAAAGUACAGAGGAAAAUGAGCAAUGAAUCAAAUCAUUACUGCAUAGAGAGAACAGAGAUUAAGAAGAAGUACAUCACCAAUUUGGGUGACAUGGGUUAGUGUGUGGUGUCCCUGCCCAUGGCAGGGGGGGUGGAACUAGAUGAUCUUAAGGUCCUUUCCAACCCUAACUAUUCUAUCAUUCUAUGAUUCUAUAAAUCACCACCGAGUCAUCCUCCAGGCCCACACUUCAGCUGGGAAGCCCUGUUGCAGCCGAUGCCGGGAGUCUCAGGAUAUUGGGAAAGUUCCUACACGGUGCGUCCACCCAUAGGUGAGGCCUCGGAUUCGGCUACAAGAGGCUCCUGCUUUUGUACCCUUAGAAACACAACCAGCUUUAUGCCAGCUCUGUCACUGUUUACUCGUGGGGCCGUGCAGUUUCUCAUCAUCUCAGUGUUGGCUGUGCCGAGAGCGUUGGCCAGGCGCCCCGGCGUGCCCAAGUGGGAAGCUCAUAGAACAGCUGCACCCUCAUGUUUUCCUGCCUCUUUCUGACAAACAGUCACCAUGAACAUACACAUAUAUACUCUACCCAAUACACUGUGACACAAACAUCCUGUGUUAUGUCUCUCAGUCAUGAGAGGGAAUCAACUCUCAGCUAGGUUCCCAUCCGUUACACAGAGUCACAGCCAAAUCCAAGCAGAGUAGCUGUAUGCACGUAGAGGAAGCAGCAAAUGGAGAGAAGAAAAAUAAUGGAAAAGAAUAUUUUAUUUUCACAAAAUAAUGGAAAACAACAAAAAUUCUCUUCCUGAUGUAGACACUCAAGUUUGCUACUGCAAUUGAAAAUCAUCUGAACACAAACAAAACUCCCUUGGAGCCAAGACUCCCCAUUUUCUAAGAGCCUUCUGAGCUUUCACAAUGGCACACACAAUCCUGACUUCCACAGGAGGAACUCAAAGGUACACUUCUGUUUAGCUGGACAUUUGUGAUGGAGGAUCUGUGGGAGUACUGGGCUUGAAUAUCCCAUGAGGGAGGGAAUCUCUGCUUUUGUAACAUAGGGACACAGGGCUAUGACUUCAGUUUUCCAGAGAAAAAGAAUGUUGUGCUUUGAUUUGAUUAACCCUAGUGUGAUUGAUGGAAGAAGCCUUAGCGUCUCUAUUUCAGGCAGCUUGCUUUCACAAGUCACACAGUGUUUAUGGUGAAGAUUUCCUGUGCCACACGCCUGACAAAUUACUUUGCCCUUUUAAACAGAGAAAGAAUACAUUUCACUUAGUAUCUGAAAACUAUGAACAGCACUAAUAAGAAGAGGACUUGAUCUUACAAAGUGCUGUGGUUAUUCAGCCCUGCAGAUAGAAGAGAUCCUUCAAGUCUGUGCUGUGGGCUUCAGGUUUUAGUUAGGCCAUAGUGCCUGCUCAUCACAAAUCCAUGGAUCUUGGUGACAAUUCAUUUUAAAGUAUGGUACAGUUCCCUCAGGAGAUCCAGCAUCAAUACCUCCACAUGUUUGUAUAGACUAGUGUCAGUUUGCUUAGUCACUGCACUCACACAAAACAGAAAGUCCAAUUUAUUCUCAAUUACCUUUACGCAGAUGUUGGUUUGGGGCUGCAGCUGUGGAGCUAUUGGUGACUCACAUCCAAUGCAAGAGGGUGUAUUCACUGGCAGGAGGUGUCUGCAUUCAAGACAUGGUGCCAUCUG
Long non-coding RNA from Strigops habroptila (Kakapo), 2127 nucleotides. The record is from Ensembl. NCBI's taxonomy places the organism in Eukaryota, Metazoa, Chordata, Aves, Psittaciformes, Psittacidae.